This 765-nucleotide ribosomal RNA is filed under the name uncultured Staphylococcus sp. RNAcentral describes it as "bacterial SSU rRNA". It matches the Rfam family "Bacterial small subunit ribosomal RNA", at positions 65 to 812 of the family's 1533-position model. Lineage: Bacteria; Bacillati; Bacillota; Bacilli; Caryophanales; Staphylococcaceae. The record is from RNAcentral.
AGCGAACAGACGAGGAGCUUGCUUCUCUGACGUUAGCGGCGGACGGGUGAGUAACACGUGGAUAACCUACCUAUAAGACUGGGAUAACUUCGGGAAACCGGAGCUAAUACCGGAUAAUAUAUUGAACCGCAUGGUUCAAUAGUGAAAGACGGUUUUGCUGUCACUUAUAGAUGGAUCCGCGCCGCAUUAGCUAGUUGGUAAGGUAACGGCUUACCAAGGCAACGAUGCGUAGCCGACCUGAGAGGGUGAUCGGCCACACUGGAACUGAGACACGGUCCAGACUCCUACGGGAGGCAGCAGUAGGGAAUCUUCCGCAAUGGGCGAAAGCCUGACGGAGCAACGCCGCGUGAGUGAUGAAGGUCUUCGGAUCGUAAAACUCUGUUAUUAGGGAAGAACAAAUGUGUAAGUAACUAUGCACGUCUUGACGGUACCUAAUCAGAAAGCCACGGCUAACUACGUGCCAGCAGCCGCGGUAAUACGUAGGUGGCAAGCGUUAUCCGGAAUUAUUGGGCGUAAAGCGCGCGUAGGCGGUUUUUUAAGUCUGAUGUGAAAGCCCACGGCUCAACCGUGGAGGGUCAUUGGAAACUGGAAAACUUGAGUGCAGAAGAGGAAAGUGGAAUUCCAUGUGUAGCGGUGAAAUGCGCAGAGAUAUGGAGGAACACCAGUGGCGAAGGCGACUUUCUGGUCUGUAACUGACGCUGAUGUGCGAAAGCGUGGGGAUCAAACAGGAUUAGAUACCCUGGUAGUCCACGCCGUAAACGAUGA